Molecule: ribosomal RNA, 404 nt
Filed under: uncultured bacterium
Lineage: Bacteria
Also listed under: 2 other names
Description: bacterial SSU rRNA
Rfam family: Bacterial small subunit ribosomal RNA
Source: RNAcentral
UGAGGAAUCUUCCACAAUGGGCGAAAGCCUGAUGGAGCAACGCCGCGUGAAGGAUGAAGGCCUUCGGGUUGUAAACUUCUUUUAUGAGUGAAGAAUAUGACGGUAACUCAUGAAUAAGCACCGGCUAACUACGUGCCAGCAGCCGCGGUCAUACGUAGGGUGCAAGCAUUAUCCGGAGUGACUGGGCGUAAAGAGUUGCGUAGGCGGUUUAAUAAGUGAAUAGUGAAACCUGGUGGCUCAACCAUACAGACUAUUAUUCAAACUGUUAAACUCGAGAAUGGUAGAGGUAACUGGAAUUUCUAGUGUAGGAGUGAAAUCCGUAGAUAUUAGAAGGAACACCGAUGGCGUAGGCAGGUUACUGGGCCAUUUCUGACGCUAAGGCACGAAAGCGUGGGGAGCGAACC